UCGGACUGCAGUCUGCAACUCGACUGCACGAAGCCGGAAUCGCUAGUAAUCGCGGAUCAGCACGCCGCGGUGAAUACGUUCCCGGGCCUUGUACACACCGCCCGUCACACCAUGGAAGUCUGCAAUGCCCGAAGCCGGUGGCCUAACCACUUAUGUGGAAGGAGCCGUCUAAGGCAGGGCAGAUGACUGGGGUGAAGUCGUAACAAGGUAUC
This 212-nucleotide ribosomal RNA is filed under the name uncultured bacterium. RNAcentral's name for it is "partial 16S ribosomal RNA". It matches the Rfam family "Bacterial small subunit ribosomal RNA", at positions 1293 to 1500 of the family's 1533-position model. The record is from RNAcentral.